RNAcentral lists this ribosomal RNA (966 nucleotides) under uncultured bacterium. Its description in RNAcentral is "bacterial SSU rRNA". It matches the Rfam family "Bacterial small subunit ribosomal RNA", at positions 539 to 1501 of the family's 1533-position model. The record is from RNAcentral.
CACCUUCGGAGUACACUAGGCCUGAGAAUAGCUAGUCGUCGUAGUAGAUUGAAGACCCUCGCUCAUCAGGCGGAGUUGCGUCUCAAACUACGAGGCUAGAGUGAGUUAGGAGGUGUGUGGUAGCUUUCUAGUGCAGCGGUGAGAUGUGUGAUAUUGUAAGGAACGACCGCUGGCGAAAGCGACACACUGGACCUCGUCUGACGCUGAGGCACGAAAGACAGGGGAGCAAACGGGAUUAGAUACCCCCGGUAGUCCUGGCCCUAAACGGUGCGCACUUGCUGUGAGUAGAUUUAAAACAUACUCGUGGCGUAGUUAACACGUUAAGUGCGCCGCCUGAGGAGUACGGUCGCAAGAUUAAAACUCAAAGAAAUAGACGGGGGCCUGCACAAGCGGUGGAGUAUGUGGCUUAAUUUGAUGCAACGCGAAGAACCUUACCUGGUCUUGACAUGCAAGUAGUAGAAGCCUGAAAGGGUGACGAGAUAGCAAUAUCAGCUUGCACAGGUGCUGCAUGGCUGUCGUCAGCUCGUGUCGUGAGAUGUUGGGUUAAGUCCCGCAACGAGCGCAACCCCUGUGUCCUGUUGCCAGCCUCGCAAGAGGGGAACUCUGGACAGACUGCCCCGCUUCAACGGGGAGGAAGGUGGGGAUGACGUCAAGUCAGUAUGGCCCUUACGACCAGGGCUGCACACGUACUACAAUGCCUGGUACAGUGGGCUGCAAACCAGCAAUGGGGAGCAAAUCCUAAAAACCAGGCCCAGUUCAGAUUGUCGGCUGCAACUCGCCGGCAUGAAGCUGGAAUCGCUAGUAAUGGCGCAUCAGCUACGGCGCCGUGAAUACGUUCCCAGGCCUUGUACACACCGCCCGUCACAUCAUGAAAGCCGGUUGUACCCGAAGCCGCUGAGUCAACCGCAAGGAGGCAGGCGUCUAAGGUAUGGCUGGUGAUUGGGAUGAAGUCGUAACAAGGUAACC